UGCCAGCCGCCGCGGUAAUACGGAGGGUGCGAGCGUUAAUCGGAAUUACUGGGCGUAAAGCGCAUGCAGGUGGUUCAUUAGGUCAGAUGUGAAAGCCCGGGGCUCAACCUCGGAACUGCAUUUGAAACUGGUGAACUAGAGUGCUGUAGAGGGGGGUAGAAUUUCAGGUGUAGCGGUGAAAUGCGUAGAUAUCCGGAGGAACAUCAGUGGCGAAGGCGACUUCCUGGACCGAUACUGACACUGAGGUGCGAAAGCGUGGGUAGCAAACAGGAUUAGAUA
Molecule: ribosomal RNA, 279 nt
Filed under: uncultured bacterium
Lineage: Bacteria
Description: partial 16S ribosomal RNA
Rfam family: Bacterial small subunit ribosomal RNA
Source: RNAcentral